AUUGAACGCUGGCGGCAGGCCUAACACAUGCAAGUCGAACGAGUGGCGGACGGGUGAGUAAUGUCUGGGAAACUGCCCGAUGGAGGGGGAUAACUACUGGAAACGGUAGCUAAUACCGCAUACCAUCGGAUGUGCCCAGCUGGGAUUAGCUAGUCGGUGGGGUAACGGCUCACCUAGGCGACGAUCCCUAGCUGGUCUGAGAGGAUGACCAGCCACACUGGAAGUGAGACACGGUCCAGACUCCAACGGGAGGAAGCAGUGGGGAAUAUGGCACAAUGGGCGCAAGCCUGAUGCAGCCAUGCGGCGUGUAUGAAGAAGGCAUUCGGGUUGUAAAGUACUUUCAGCGAGGAGGCGUUACUCGCAGAAGAAGCAACGGCUAACUCCGUGCCAGCGGCCGCGGUAAUUC
This 406-nucleotide ribosomal RNA is filed under the name uncultured bacterium. RNAcentral describes it as "partial 16S ribosomal RNA". It matches the Rfam family "Bacterial small subunit ribosomal RNA", at positions 30 to 526 of the family's 1533-position model. The record is from RNAcentral.